GUGGGGAAUUUUGGACAAUGGGCGCAAGCCUGAUCCAGCAAUGCCGCGUGCAGGAAGAAGGCCUUCGGGUUGUAAACUGCUUUUGUACGGAACGAAACGGUCCGGGUUAAUACCCUGGGCUAAUGACGGUACCGUAAGAAUAAGCACCGGCUAACUACGUGCCAGCAGCCGCGGUAAUACGUAGGGUGCAAGCGUUAAUCGGAAUUACUGGGCGUAAAGCGUGCGCAGGCGGUUUUGUAAGACAGGCGUGAAAUCCCCGGGCUCAACCUGGGAAUUGCGCUUGUGACUGCAAGGCUGUAGUGCGGCAGAGGGGGAUGGAAUUCCGCGUGUAGCAGUGAAAUGCGUAGAUAUGCGGAGGAACACCGAUGGCGAAGGCAAUCCCCUGGGCCUGCACUGACGCUCAUGCACGAAAGCGUGGGGAGCAAACAGGAUUAGAAACCCGAGUAGUCC
RNAcentral lists this ribosomal RNA (450 nucleotides) under uncultured bacterium. RNAcentral describes it as "partial 16S ribosomal RNA". It matches the Rfam family "Bacterial small subunit ribosomal RNA", at positions 354 to 796 of the family's 1533-position model. The record is from RNAcentral.